This 31-nucleotide non-coding RNA is filed under the name Rattus norvegicus (Norway rat). Lineage: Eukaryota; Metazoa; Chordata; Mammalia; Rodentia; Muridae. The record is from RNAcentral.
UCCUCUUUAACGGUCUUCAUGGAGCCAUCAU